This 559-nucleotide ribosomal RNA is filed under the name Aspergillus niger. Its description in RNAcentral is "eukaryotic LSU rRNA". The stretch from base 198 to 351 matches the Rfam family "5.8S ribosomal RNA". Lineage: Eukaryota; Fungi; Ascomycota; Eurotiomycetes; Eurotiales; Aspergillaceae. The record is from RNAcentral.
AAGGAUCAUUACCGAGUGCGGGUCCUUUGGGCCCAACCUCCCAUCCGUGUCUAUUGUACCCUGUUGCUUCGGCGGGCCCGCCGCUUGUCGGCCGCCGGGGGGGCGCCUCUGCCCCCCGGGCCCGUGCCCGCCGGAGACCCCAACACGAACACUGUCUGAAAGCGUGCAGUCUGAGUUGAUUGAAUGCAAUCAGUUAAAACUUUCAACAAUGGAUCUCUUGGUUCCGGCAUCGAUGAAGAACGCAGCGAAAUGCGAUAACUAAUGUGAAUUGCAGAAUUCAGUGAAUCAUCGAGUCUUUGAACGCACAUUGCGCCCCCUGGUAUUCCGGGGGGCAUGCCUGUCCGAGCGUCAUUGCUGCCCUCAAGCCCGGCUUGUGUGUUGGGUCGCCGUCCCCCUCUCCGGGGGGACGGGCCCGAAAGGCAGCGGCGGCACCGCGUCCGAUCCUCGAGCGUAUGGGGCUUUGUCACAUGCUCUGUAGGAUUGGCCGGCGCCUGCCGACGUUUUCCAACCAUUCUUUCCAGGUUGACCUCGGAUCAGGUAGGGAUACCCGCUGAACUAA